This 505-nucleotide ribosomal RNA is filed under the name uncultured bacterium. RNAcentral's name for it is "bacterial SSU rRNA". It matches the Rfam family "Bacterial small subunit ribosomal RNA", at positions 15 to 518 of the family's 1533-position model. The record is from RNAcentral.
GAUCCUGGCUUAGGAUGAACGCUGGCGGCGUGCCUAAUACAUGCAAGUGAAACGGGUAUCUUCGGAUACCAGUCGCGGACGGGUGAGUAAUACAUAGGCAACCUGCCUUUAUGAGGGGGAUAACCGAGGGAAACUUUGGCUAAUACCGCAUGAAGACUCUAAGGCAUCUUAGAGGGAUAAAAGUUGGGAAACAACGCAUGAAGAUGGGCUUAUGGCGCAUUAGCUAGUUGGUGAGAUAGAAGCCCACCAAGGUAAUGAUGCGUAGCCGACCUGAGAGGGUGAACGGCCACAUUGGGACUGAGACACGGCCCAAACUCCUACGGGAGGCAGCAGUAGGGAAUUUUCGGCAAUGGGGGGAACCCUGACCGAGCAACGCCGCCGUGAAGGAAGAAGGUUUUCGGAUUGUAAACUUCUGUUAUAAGGGAAGAACGGAUUGGAUAGGGAAUGAUCUGAUAGUGACGGUACCUUAUUAGAAAGCCACGGCUAACUACGUGCCAGCAGCCGC